CAUCCGUUCCGACGGUUCCGUACAGUCAAACGUGGUAAUCGUGAGGGAAUCUUUUGGCUGUCGGUAGGUGGCUAAAAUGGUUUGUCCCCCAGCCACCAGGUGACGCGAGUGUCUUCGUGAGGACGAUAAAUUUGUCAUUUGUUUCCGAAACGCUGACUGAAAGUGUAUCAUUCAUUACGGAAUUGCGGUGUCGAUAUACAUUUUAAGCCAUGAAAUGGGAAUCUGGCAUAUAAUUUUACUUGGCCAAAUAAUGUGACGACGUGGGUCGAAACUGCUGUCCAUUUCACCGAAAUGUCGGCCAUUGUUAGCUGUACCUACACGGCUGUACGUCUCAUCUCGUGCUAAAACACUUCAGACCUAUUGAUGUCCAGGUUGGAGAUCCCUUCGCUCAACUGUUGCAGAAAUUGAGAACAUGAGAAAGUCUGAGCUUCAUGGCUGUUGUAUCAUCAUCGUGGUUUUGUUUCAUUCAUGAGGUGGGAAAAGUGUGAUCGAGUCAAGUUGAGCUGCAGCUGCUGCAUGAAGUUAAUCAAACUGUUGUUAUUCCUAUUGUCACAGCAGGAAGACUUCUUGAAUCGGAGUUCAUGGUCAGUUUGAUGUUUGAGCUGUUUAUGGUGUUGCUGUUUGGUGUACAGUGGUUUUGCAGUCCCUUUCCAGUUGAGAGAUGCUCUGAAGUGGAGCUUGUGCAGACUUGCAGUUCAAAAUCUCACUUUAAAUGUGUCAUUUGCCUAUGUUUGUGUCCGUGCAGUAUAUGCCGUGUUAAAAAGUUGGGUUUAAUAGUCAAUGUUGUCGAUGGCUGUUGGUCUUGUUUUAUCGGCUGCAUUUUGUCGAUGUUUCGUCUCUUGUUUCCUGUUCGGUCAGUGUCUCCCCCUGCUUGCAUGUCAGCAGUUUAAUAAAUAAACCAUUUAUAAAAACUUA
Daphnia pulex (common water flea) is the source of this 915-nucleotide long non-coding RNA. RefSeq lists it as uncharacterized. The transcript has 4 exons. Lineage: Eukaryota; Metazoa; Arthropoda; Branchiopoda; Diplostraca; Daphniidae. The record is from RefSeq and is a predicted model, not a curated record.